This 45-nucleotide non-coding RNA is filed under the name Schistosoma haematobium. Lineage: Eukaryota; Metazoa; Platyhelminthes; Trematoda; Strigeidida; Schistosomatidae. The record is from RNAcentral.
AUCCAACUGACUAGCCCAAAAUAGGGCGAGACGCGAGUCCUGGAU